Herpailurus yagouaroundi (jaguarundi) is the source of this 2382-nucleotide long non-coding RNA. RefSeq lists it as uncharacterized. The record is from RefSeq and is a predicted model, not a curated record. Lineage: Eukaryota; Metazoa; Chordata; Mammalia; Carnivora; Felidae. The transcript has 2 exons.
GGGUCUUAUACUAAGUCACAUGAGUCAGAUAAAGACCAAUACCAUAUGAUCUGACUUAUGUGUGGAAUCUAAAAACCAAACUCACCAGCCAAACAACAAUAACAACAGCAAACAGAAACAGAAUCACGAAUACGGAGAACAAACUGUUGAUUGCCAGAGGGAGGGGGUUGGUUGUAGGGGCAAAAAUGGUGAAGGUGAUUAAGAGGCAGAAACUUCCAGUUAUAAAAGUACAGCACAGGGAGUAUAUUCAAUAAUACUGUAAUAACUCUGUACAGUGACAGAUGGUAACCACACUCACUUAAUGGUGAGUAUAGCAAUACAUAAAAUUGGAGAUUAUGUUGUACACCCGAAACUAAUAUGACAUCUUAUGUCAGAUAUUACUUCAAUAAAUAAAUAAACAAGUAAAGUACAUGUGGCUAAUAUGGCAGAAACUACCCAGAUGUGCACUGAUGGAUGAGUAGAUAAACAAAAUGUGGUAUUAUUCAUAAAGGGAAUAUUAUUUAGCGCUAAGAAGGAAUGAAGUUCUGAUAUAUGCUAACACAUGUACGGUCCUUGAAAACAUUAUGCUAAGUGAAAUUAACCUGACACAAAAGCAUGAAAACGGUAUGAUUCCACAAUAGGCAAAUUGAUGGAGACAGAAAACAGAUUAAAGGGGCUGAGGGCAGGGGAGAAAAGGGAGUUUUGGUUACAGAGUGUUUGCUUUGGGUGAUGGAAAAGAUCUGGAAACGCAGUGGUGAUGGUUACACAGCAGCAUCGAUGCAAUUAAUGCCACUGCAUUGUAGAGUUAAAAACGGUGAAAAUGGCAUACUUUAUGUUUUAUAUAUAUUAUCACAAUAGUGAAAAGAAAUGUGUGUGGCUAUGAAGGAAAAAUGUCAGCCCUUAAAACUAGUAACAGCCUUAGUUAUUUCUGAUUUAAACAAUCAAGUUAUAUUCUGACAUGUAUCUGAAAGUACAGACACGUAGGUCACGUGCCAAGGAGGAAGUGGAGAGCAGAAAGCAGUCUAGAGAGCCGCAAACAACCACACUUACCUCCUGUUAAGUUUCCUUCAUGCGUUAGAAACUGUGACAGGCACUUUACACAUUUUAUACCUAACCCUCCACGCAAGCUACACAGGAGGUACUCAUACUGUGUUUCAGAUGAAGAAUCUCAGGCUUGGACAGGCAAAAACAACUUGUUUAAGACCAUAUUCCUGGGGGGGAGUAGAACAGGAUGUGAAACCAGGUCCUUCUCACAGGAGUCUUGUGCAGUCCAGUAUCCAAAGGCUGAGAACUCAGGCCGACUGAGGCUCAAAUGCUGGUGCUGUCUAGCCUCUCCAGGCUCCAACCUCCUCAUCUGUAAGUGGAGAACCACUGUACCCACCUCAGAGUCAGUUGUGAGGCUCAGAUAUCAUGGCAGGUAACACACUCAGUGCCGUGCCUGGCACGCAGUGAAUGCUCAAAGUUAGCCAUCAUUACUCCCUGAGAAACCUCAUAGGCCGGUGUUCAACACUGGUAGGUUUAUUCAAGUGGGUCCCUAGCCUUCCUGCAGGUUCAGAAACAGAGCUUUUCCAGACUUUCCAGAAAUGAUAAACUAAUGCUAACCAGCAUCACUUGAAAAUGCUGGAGUUUAAUUUAUCAUGGGAAUAUUUCAUUUGGUUACUAGAACACCUAAGCAUCAGUUCUGUGCAUCCUGUUUCAAAUGAUUAAGCUACCUAGAAAUUAGUGAUUAGGGCUUCUUGGUGAGUAUAAAAUUUCAGAUCGCAUUUCGCAGUUUUGUUGAAUGUCAUGUACCGAGCCCUGUGUUCAACUUUUCAGAUCAAUACUCUUAUUCAGUUCUCAGAAUUACCCUAGCAAAUAGGUAACUUUUAGUACCGUAAUACUAAUGAAGAAACCAAGGUUCUUAUGUCUUCAAGACUCAGUCUGCUAGUGAGGUCAAAAAUGGAACAUGGACCAGUUAUGAUUCUGAGGCCAUACUCUCAAUCAUUAUGUUCUAAGGACAAAGGGGGAGAAACCCACUGAAAGAGCAUUUCACUCCAGCUGUGGUGUACCUCAAGGGAAACAUUCCACCUACAGCAGGGGACAUGGCUGUAACGACCAAGGAGUUCAAGUUCCUGGAAGUACUCUCUUUUCCGGGGAACUUCCGGAUCCACACGAAACACCGUUCCCUAUGGCUCGCCUUCUUGUGUUGAGAACUCUUUCGGGCCUCAAGACGUUUUUCUGUCUACUGUUUCGUGAUAACGUAAUUUAAUUCUCAAAAGAAGCACACUGACUACAUACUUGCUAUGUAUUUGUGCCACCAUCAACGGUCCUGGGUAACUGGAGAGCUGAUACAUUGCCACAAGGCCCAACUGUGUUGUUUGCAUCAAAUGUCCUUGAUGUUUAGUAAAUAAAUGUUAGCUUUGA